GCCAAAUGCUCAUAGCUGUCCUCGCUGCCUGAACCCAAGUUCUGUAGGGGUCAUUUUCUCGUCCUGUGGUGAUCUUGAUGUGUCUGAAAGUUUUAAGUAAUAUGUAUCUGAAUUACUUUGAAAAAAUAAUUUGUUCCUGAGGCUCUUUGAACUCUGAAGAUCUGGAGUGGAUGAUGUGGCUCUCUCACUCUCUUCACUUCUUCAGCAAGUGCUACUAGCUGGAAAUUUUGUAAAUUGCUUUUGAAAAACAACAACAACAACAACAAAAACCAUCCAUGUUCUUUUCACAAACUUCCGACUACAUUCAGAUUUGCUAGGGGUGUUAUUACAGGUCGUGAUCUCAGGAUCCUGGGAUGAAGACCCACAUCAGGCUCCUUGCUCAGUGGGGAGCCUGCUUCUCCCUCUCCCUCUGCAGCUACCUGCUGUUUGUGCUUGUUCAAUCUCUCUCUGUGUCAAAUAAAUAAAUAAAAUAUU
This is a long non-coding RNA of Lutra lutra (Eurasian river otter), 474 nucleotides long. RefSeq lists it as uncharacterized. The record is from RefSeq and is a predicted model, not a curated record. The transcript is spliced from 3 exons. Lineage: Eukaryota; Metazoa; Chordata; Mammalia; Carnivora; Mustelidae.